AUACGUAGGGGGCGAGCGUUAUCCGGAUUUAUUGGGUGUAAAGCGUGUGUAGGCGGUUUGUUAAGUUUAAGAUUAAAGCCCGAGGCUUAACCUCGGUUCGUCUUAAAAACUGGCAGACUUGAGUGCAGUAGAGGCAAGUGGAAUUUCUAGUGUAGCGGUUAAAUGCGUAGAUAUUAGAAGGAACACCAGUGGCGAAGGCGGCUUGCUGGGCUGUUACUGACGCUGAGACACGAAAGCGUGGGGAGCAAAUAGGAUUAGAUCCCCUAGUAGUCCACGCCGUAAACGAUGAGUACUAAGUGUCGGGUAACCGGUGCUGAAGUUAACACAUUAAGUACUCCGCCUGAGUAGUACGGUCGCAAGGCUGAAACUCAAAUGAAUUGACGGGG
This 386-nucleotide ribosomal RNA is filed under the name uncultured bacterium. RNAcentral describes it as "partial 16S ribosomal RNA". It matches the Rfam family "Bacterial small subunit ribosomal RNA", at positions 523 to 918 of the family's 1533-position model. The record is from RNAcentral.